This 353-nucleotide unclassified non-coding RNA is filed under the name soil metagenome. Its description in RNAcentral is "partial contains 5.8S ribosomal RNA, internal transcribed spacer 2, and large subunit ribosomal RNA". The stretch from base 1 to 120 matches the Rfam family "5.8S ribosomal RNA", at positions 35 to 154 of the family's 154-position model. The record is from RNAcentral.
GAUGAAGAACGUAGCGAAAUGCGAUAAGUAAUGUGAAUUGCAGAAUUCAGUGAAUCAUCGAAUCUUUGAACGCACAUUGCGCCCGCCAGUAUUCUGGCGGGCAUGCCUGUUCGAGCGUCAUUACAACCCUCAGGCCCCUGGGCCUGGCGUUGGGGAUCGGCGGAAGCCCCCUGCGGGCACAACGCCGUCCCCCAAAUACAGUGGCGGUCCCGCCGCAGCUUCCAUUGCGUAGUAGCUAACACCUCGCAACUGGAGAGCGGCGCGGCCACGCCGUAAAACACCCAACUUCUGAAUGUUGACCUCGAAUCAGGUAGGAAUACCCGCUGAACUUAAGCAUAUCAAUAAGCGGAGGA